This 72-nucleotide transfer RNA is filed under the name Camelus bactrianus (Bactrian camel). It matches the Rfam family "tRNA". From Rfam's summary of the family: Transfer RNA (tRNA) molecules are approximately 80 nucleotides in length. Lineage: Eukaryota; Metazoa; Chordata; Mammalia; Artiodactyla; Camelidae. The record is from Rfam by way of RNAcentral. RNAcentral also lists the same sequence under 2 other names.
GAGGGUAGAGCUCAGUGGUAGAGUGCAUGUCUAGCAUGUGUGAGGUCCUGGGUUCAAUCCCCAGUGCCUCCA